AGAAGACCACCAGACACAGAAUCUAUUGCCAUGGAUUCCCAUAUGUAUGUGCACAGUGCGUAUGGCAAUCUGAGCUCUAUACAUACUGCCACCAAAAGAGAAUCCAAAUCUCCCUCUCUCUCUCUGUCUCUCUCUCUCUCUCUGGUUGCACCACCAGCAGCAGUGACGAGGAGAGCGAGUAGAAAUAGAUCUUCUUUCUACACUGCUAUCUCUCUUCACUGGUUCUUGCCAGUCAGUGGCUUUCUCUCUCCUUUUGCCUCCCUUUCUUGGUCUCAAUCCGUAGCCAAAAAGCCCCAUGGAUGAAAGGAUCCCCACCUGCUGUUUACUUCCAGUAUUCCCCUUCUGGUGUUCACUCAUCUCCCUCCCCUCACCACUCCAUGAGGUCUCCAGCCACCUCAGACAGAAAAAUAUCUGCCUCCUCCUUGCCUCUUUUUCUCGUGUGAUGUGAUGUGGGGUUUGUGAUUCUUGAUCUUCUUUGUGGUUGAGAAUGCGAUUAAUUGGUUCAUUAUCUGUUCUGGAUUGGUUUCUGAUUUCGUUUGAUCUUGGUUUGUUUAUGAUUGCUAGAAUUUCUUGGGGGUUCAGUAUCCAGUCGACCUGUUCAUGUUAAAUGUUGAAUUUUUAGCUACUUAAAUAUGUUCAGUCACAAAAAUUGUUGCUUGUCAUGGUGAUAUCUUGUGGAGGCUCACAAUUGGAUGCACCUGUUUGUGCUGGUUUUGUCUUAAUUACUAUGCUGCAUCAUAUACUGAGGAAAAGGAACCUAUUUUGGUGCAGAUUGUGUGACUUCUGAAUCUACUUAUAAUAGUAAUUAGCUAAUGGUUACAGGGCACCUUUUGCAUCACUUUGAGUUGGUGACUAUUGCUAAAUUGGUUUGGUCUUGCAUUGGAUGUUUACCAAAUACAUAAGCCAUUGUGGAUUCCAGAAUAAUUAUGAUUUGUGCUGUCAUUGUGAUGUAUGCCCCAAUAUAGACUCUCUCCAUUAAUGAGCAGUGGUUUAAUAGUUUGGUCAAAACUGUAUUAGCAUUGAGAAGCAAAAUUCUUGUUGUCAUUAUAGAGUACUUAGAGGCCUAAUGUUUUUUUUGCAUUGCUCGGUACUUGCCAUUUUGAAAGCUGUGGAGCUAUUUUCGCAGGUAUUUGGCUGGACUGUUGGCUGAGAGGCAAAAGUUGGGACCAUUUCCGCAAGUAUUUCCAUUUUUCUGUAGGCUUCUAAACCAAGAAAUUGUGCGGGCUUCCGGUUUAGCACCUAACCAAACUUUUGUGGAACAUGAGAGAAUUGAGCAUGUCACUCCAUUAUGAUUAAUUGGGCACCCAUCCAAUGGUGGACUGAUGGAUCUGGAGGGGCGGUCGGGAAAUGCACACAGAGCAGUCAGAUUCAGUCUUGUCUGGGUUUGCAUUAGGAGGAUAGUUUUUAUCACUCAUGUGAUUUAACUUUGAAGGUUUGAUAUAGUAGGAAGUAUGAAUAGGCUCAGUGAUCGGGAAGAGGAGAUUGUGUCCAAGUCGAUGAAACUCGUACAUUUCAAAUAUGCAUCUGCCUGUAGCUUCACCAAGAGGGGUGUGCAACUGCAAUCUACCACUGUUUGUGGAAAAUGAAUACUUUCACAGAACAGGGAUCCUUCAAGCAUCAGCUCCAGGUUGGAAUGGAACUGCUGGAGUUAAUACGAGCCCUAUCACAAAGAAAGUCAUCAGGAAGAAAAGCUAAGGGAUAACCGUGAAACUAGCACCUAAAUGAGCCACUGCAUGUACUUGUGGAGGCAGAGUUUACAGCAGACAUAGUUGACCUUUGUUUAAAUCAAGCUGUGACCAUAUUGGAAGAUCUUUUGAAGCCCAUGGUUGAGUCCAUGGAUUACUACAAGAAUCAACAACUGAGGGAGUUGGCUAUACUGAAUGGUACUUUGAGAGAGAAAACCCUCAUAUGAGCCCCAGCGCAUCUCCCUUCAACAGCACAGGAAUGGAACAGGCGAUGAUCUGAGUUUCUAGUAGAUCAACCCAAUCUCGAUUACCAAAUCCAGGUUUUGUUACCUUAUCAGAGAAUUUUUCUGAUACACAUGGCUGCUAAUUGAUGGUGCUGAGAUCAGUAAUGGUGCUGGGAUCAGUAGCAGAGCUUUGGACACCAAUAAGUUGAUUUCUAGGCAGUUCUUUGGAUUGGUCAUAUCCUGCGAUACAAAAAUUUUCUGCAUGAUAAUUGCCUUUAACUUCUGCGCGUGAACGCAGCUCUUGAAUUUGUUUAAUUACUUAUUCUUUAUUGUAUGUUUGCUAUUGUAAUAAGUUCAAAUCAGAAUGGAUUCAAUGACAUAUGAUUAUAAUAGAUCUUUGUAUCUUUGGUUUGCC
This is a long non-coding RNA of Musa acuminata AAA Group (dessert banana), 2324 nucleotides long. RefSeq lists it as uncharacterized. NCBI's taxonomy places the organism in Eukaryota, Viridiplantae, Streptophyta, Magnoliopsida, Zingiberales, Musaceae. The transcript has 7 exons. The record is from RefSeq and is a predicted model, not a curated record.